This 549-nucleotide ribosomal RNA is filed under the name Exiguobacterium sp. RE1-8a. RNAcentral's name for it is "bacterial SSU rRNA". It matches the Rfam family "Bacterial small subunit ribosomal RNA", at positions 930 to 1494 of the family's 1533-position model. The record is from RNAcentral. Lineage: Bacteria; Bacillati; Bacillota; Bacilli; Caryophanales.
CGGUGGAGCAUGUGGUUUAAUUGGAAGCAACGNGAAGAACCUUACCAACUCUUGACAUCCCCUUGACCGGCUUGAGANAUCAAGUUUUCCACAGGUGGUGCAUGGUUGUCGUCAGCUCGUGUCGUGAGAUGUUGGGUUAAGUCCCGCAACGAGCGCAACCCUUAUCCUUAGUUGCCAGCAUUCAGUUGGGCACUCUAGGGAGACUGCCGGUGACAAACCGGAGGAAGGUGGGGAUGACGUCAAAUCAUCAUGCCCCUUAUGAGUUGGGCUACACACGUGCUACAAUGGACGGUACAAAGGGCAGCGAGACCGCGAGGUGGAGCCAAUCCCAGAAAGCCGUUCCCAGUUCGGAUUGCAGGCUGCAACUCGCCUGCAUGAAGUCGGAAUCGCUAGUAAUCGCAGGUCAGCAUACUGCGGUGAAUACGUUCCCGGGUCUUGUACACACCGCCCGUCACACCACGAGAGUUUGCAACACCCGAAGCCGGUGAGGUAACCGCAAGGAGCCAGCCGUCGAAGGUGGGGUAGAUGAUUGGGGUGAAGUCGUAACAA